Molecule: long non-coding RNA, 1292 nt
Organism: Gasterosteus aculeatus aculeatus (three-spined stickleback)
Lineage: Eukaryota; Metazoa; Chordata; Actinopteri; Perciformes; Gasterosteidae
Source: Ensembl
UGUAAGGAUGAUAAGAAUGAUGUAUUAUUGUUGCAUUGAAUGGGUUAAUAUAAGGUAAAAUAUACUUAAAAUGUUCAUAAAAAGGUAAAAGUUAAAAUGCACUAAUGGUCUGUAGAUCAGUGAUUCAUUGUUCGGUGGUUUAAGUUUAGGUAUCAGUGCAAUCAGAUUGAUUGCUAAUGCCUCAUUCAGGGACGAUCUGUGAGCGAUUGCUAAUGCCUCGUUUUGCCUAUGAACGGAGCGUGUGGCUAGGGUCGUUCAUUACAACUAUGGCCGACACUGAGCUGCAUCGUGUCCGUGUCGUUUGUCAUAUUUCCUCUUUUACAGGUAAGAACGAGUGUUGUAUUAGGGUUGAUCAAUGUAUAUAUGUGUUUCAAUACUGUAAGAAACAUGCGGGAGUAGAUGUUAAUGAUGGUAAUCAUCUAGCAGCUAAACGUGAAGAAAUGUUCAUCUAGCGUAGCGUGCAUGCUAGCUGUGUAGCACGUGGCGUAGCCCGUGGGCUGGGCUCAAAGCGGGACGUAAUAGAACACCGCAAGUGCCGGUUUCUCUGUGUGUAUUUGUUUUAUAUUAUAAGGAUAAGGUAAAAGUGUUAGUAUCGCAUAAGCUAAAGAGAGAGUGUUUAAUGUGAAAAGGAAAGAGUCUUGUAUUUUUUUCAAGGUUAUUUUCCCAUGUUGUUUUACGAUGUUGUAAACAUAUUUGAUAUUUUGGUAACUCACUUUAACGACUGGUUCAGGUCAUUUGAGUAAUAUGGAGCCAUAACUGAUCGAAUUGUAUUUGUCUUAAUUGUAUAAGCUCUUAUAAAGACAUUACCGCAAAGGGAAAAUAACAUGUUUAAGUGCGAUACUGAGUGUAUAAAUGUGUUAUUAUGCUUUUCAUGUUCAUUACAACUAUGGCCGACACUGAGCUGCAUCGUGUCCGUGUCGUUUGUCAUAUUUCCUCUUUUACAGGGGCGUAACAUUUGGAGGCACCGCUGGGAUCGUGUGCAGCGUGGUUUAGCGUCUUCAACAGAUGUCCCCCGCCGUCACACAUCCCCUUUAAACAACCCGGAACAUCAGAAGCAGGUGGCGAAUCAGCGAUAGUGGGAGUCCGAUUGUCUGGGGCAGCUUGCAUGUGAUCUGAGGAAUCUGAGUCAGGUCUCCAAUAUGACCCUGGGUUAGUGCAGAAGAUGUUUCUUCACACUGUGCUAACUGGCCUGCAGAAUGACAACAUCAGGCGGGAUCUUCAGCCUUACUUGGAGCAAACUGACAUCGCUGAUGAACUGUUGCUUGAGCGAGUGAAUACAGCAUGUGCUUAUG